Molecule: long non-coding RNA, 251 nt
Filed under: Gossypium barbadense (sea-island cotton)
Lineage: Eukaryota; Viridiplantae; Streptophyta; Magnoliopsida; Malvales; Malvaceae
Description: long non-coding RNA (GBAR_LNC016470)
Source: RNAcentral
GCCACAUCAACUUUCCAUCGGGCAAUUUACCAAUAAAAACUUUUUUUUUUAAAAAAAAUUACCGAAAUAGGCCCAUUAUUUUAUUAUUUAUCGGAAUGGUCUUUUUUCGCGAAAUCGCGUCUACGUCAACGCAUGUCAGAGUACGCGCCAAGAAAUUGCGUCCACGUCAGCAACUCGCGCUGACGUAAACGCGAUUUCCUCCCCGCGUGAACAGUACUCAAUGGUCAAAAAUUUGACCGUUGCCCCCCCUA